UACGGAGGGUGCAAGCGUUAAUCGGAAUUACUGGGCGUAAAGCGCGUGUAGGCGGCGUAGCAAGUCGGGCGUGAAAGCCCACGGCUCAACCGUGGAAGAGCACUCGAAACUGCUGCGCUAGAGUUCUGGAGAGGAAGGCGGAAUGCUUGGUGUAGAGGUGAAAUUCGUAGAUAUCAAGCGGAACACCGGUGGCGAAGGCGGCCUUCUGGACAGUGACUGACGCUGAAACGCGAAAGCGUGGGGAGCAAACAGG
Molecule: ribosomal RNA, 253 nt
Filed under: uncultured bacterium
Lineage: Bacteria
Description: partial 16S ribosomal RNA
Rfam family: Bacterial small subunit ribosomal RNA
Source: RNAcentral